This 305-nucleotide ribosomal RNA is filed under the name uncultured Aminicenantes bacterium. Its description in RNAcentral is "bacterial SSU rRNA". It matches the Rfam family "Bacterial small subunit ribosomal RNA", at positions 1077 to 1382 of the family's 1533-position model. Lineage: Bacteria; Candidatus Aminicenantota. The record is from RNAcentral.
GGGUUAAGUCCCGCAACGAGCGCAACCUUACCCUUAGUUGCCAGCGGGUAAUGCCGGGCACUCUAAGGGGACCGCCCCGGAUAACGGGGAGGAAGGCGGGGAUGACGUCAAGUCAGCAUGGCCUUUAUGUCCAGGGCUACACACGUGCUACAAUGGGCGAUACAGAGGGAAGCAAGGCCGCAAGGUAGAGCUAAUCCCUAAAGUCGUCCUCAGUUCGGAUUGCAGGCUGCAACUCGCCUGCAUGAAGUCGGAAUCGCUAGUAAUCGCGGAUCAGCUACGCCGCGGUGAAUACGUUCUCGGGCCUU